Rattus norvegicus (Norway rat) is the source of this 364-nucleotide non-coding RNA. Lineage: Eukaryota; Metazoa; Chordata; Mammalia; Rodentia; Muridae. The record is from RefSeq and is a predicted model, not a curated record.
AUCCUUUGUGUCCCACAUCAUUCUUGCUGGUGAGAAGUAGCAUGUGACAUUUGGUGCCAGAAACCCGGAAAAAAGACCUCACCACCGUCAGCACCUCCGUAGACGCUUGGUGACAAAGAAGAUUCAGAACUGCAGGAUAAUGAAAAUCCAGUUUGGGUUCUGGGAUGACUUACUCGGAAUAUCAAGACAGAGGACCAAGAAGAUGACAACUCUGCUGAUCCUCAUGCUGAUCCAGGGAGUGCCAAUAAAGGUGCAGAAAAAACUAUGGUGGGGAAUAAUGUCAACCUUCCCCCUCCUGAUGCUCGUGAUGUAUAAUGCCCAAGUGUUUCCACGUUUCUUUACUACCAACAAAGAAUUAAGACUA